GAUAUAGCAAUAUAUUAGUGGCAAACGGGUGAGUAAUGUAAAGGAAUCUACCUAGCAGUAAGGGAUAACUUUGGGAAACCAAAGCUAAUACCAUAUAUUACCCUUCGGGGGAAAGAUUUAUCGCUGUUAGAUGAGCCUUUAUCGGAUUAGCUAGUUGGUAAGGUAAUGGCUUACCAAGGCAAUGAUCCGUAGCUGGUCUGAGAGGAUGAUCAGCCACACUGGAACUGAGACACGGUCCAGACUCC
This 245-nucleotide ribosomal RNA is filed under the name uncultured bacterium. RNAcentral's name for it is "partial 16S ribosomal RNA". It matches the Rfam family "Bacterial small subunit ribosomal RNA", at positions 69 to 339 of the family's 1533-position model. The record is from RNAcentral.